This is a long non-coding RNA of Dromiciops gliroides (monito del monte), 989 nucleotides long. RefSeq lists it as uncharacterized. The record is from RefSeq and is a predicted model, not a curated record. The transcript is spliced from 2 exons. Lineage: Eukaryota; Metazoa; Chordata; Mammalia; Microbiotheria; Microbiotheriidae.
GCGGCUGAGGGAGACUAGGGGGAGGUGGGUGCGCCUCAGGCCGCCGCCGCUGCCGCCGCCGCCGCGUAAAGGGAGGAGGGAGAGGAAGGGGAGGAGUCAAGGCGGCUACAGUUGCCGCCUCUUGCCCCACCCCCGGCCUCGGCUAGGUGGCGGAGGCUGAAUGUUGAUGGUAGGGGUUCCUCCACCCUGGGGGAAGUAAAGGGGGAGGGGAAGUAGCCGGGUGUGCAGACUGGAAGGGCAAGAGCCCCCUCCCCCCGCCGCGGGAGCGCGCGCGCACACGCGGCUCGAGCACGCUGACGUCUCGGCAGCCGGAGGUGAGAGCGAGCUGCUGCUUUCGGAGCUCCGAGCCCCAGGGGGAUUCACCUGCGGCUCCUCCGCCCGGAGGGGAACGCCGGGCCCCACUGCAGCCGCCCUUCCGGAGGGAUGAAAUUGACUUUUCUCAAGUGGCCCUGAGACCUGCUUCCAAAUUAGACAUCCUGUAGCAAUAUAGCAUUGUGGGAGACUGGUGAUUAAUGACCACAGAGGAAGUGAAGGUAUAGGAAAAUGAAAAGUUUGAUCACCCUGGGACAUCUCAGCCACUGAACUAAAGAACAGAGAAAACUGGAGCAGGGUGCCAAUGUGUGGAAUGCUAAACCAGGCUGGAAGGAAAGGAGACUAGAAUCUAGCUGGGUCCAGUUCUAGACUCACUGAAGUCACUUGGUUUAGGGACUGAGGCUAAUGAAAAGUGAAUUCCCCCGUGUGGUGUGGGAAGAAGCAGAGACACCUUUGAGUUCCAACCUUCAGGGAAGCUACCAUCAAAAAAAGAAAGGAACCAGAAACUGAAUAAUAAGGGAAUAAAGGGGAAAAGACUGAAUUUACCAAGGAUCCAAGGAGACAAUUCUGCUUUGAAAGUUGAGUGCAAGCAGGUUGAUCAACUGGGUGGCUAUUAAUACCAGAAGGGAAGAUGGCAUCUAAACAAACCCAGAAAUCUCUGAGUAAAUAUAACAAAA